Coregonus clupeaformis (lake whitefish) is the source of this 2988-nucleotide RNA transcript. It is a transcript of the gene named MINDY lysine 48 deubiquitinase 4, with no coding region annotated. The record is from RefSeq and is a predicted model, not a curated record. Lineage: Eukaryota; Metazoa; Chordata; Actinopteri; Salmoniformes; Salmonidae. The transcript has 20 exons.
GUGACUGAAGGAGUGGGAUGGUUUGAUUUAUUUUUGUAUUUUGUAUUAUCUCGGGUCAGUAGUCUGCCAUAAAACAUUGAAGAAGCAGGAGGCAGGCUCUCUUGGCCCAGCAACACGCAUGCACCGUAACCAUAGAAACAGACCAUACUGUCAAAGAUUUUCAUUGUUCUAUCUGUGAUACUGUGCUGUAUGUAGCCUGUAGCUAGCUAAAUAUUAUUUUUUUGUGGGGGGAUUUGUCAUUCAUGCUACAAAUUAUGGUUGUACGAGUUGAAGAAGUUGCUGCAUCGCUUGUGCGGGAAUUUCUCAGUCGGAAGGGACUCAAGAGAACGAUUGCUUGCAUGGAUGAAGAGCAUCCCCGUACAGAUGCCAGCAUCAAUAAUAGAUCCGACCUGCGACAAAUUCUUCACCUGGAAGGUCUAUAUAAAAAAAACAAGGCCCAAGACUGUCCCCUGAAAUCAAUGUUGGAGAUCAUUGUAAGACAUCACAUUGAAGGACAUAAAGAGGACAGGACAGGCUUCAACAGUGAUGUCAUCCAGACCGUAUCAACUACACAGAAUUUGGUGACAAAGUCUCCAACAGUGACACCAACAGUGUAUGACAACACCAGGGCAGAAGAGAACACUACUGGAUUGAUUUUCAACAAAACUGACAUGUCAAGGUCACUUGCAGAGGUUGUCUGUUCGUCUCAUGGUACAUUAUCAUCAUUUGAAGCGUCAAAUACUCCCCCUACAACCACCCAGAGAAGUAUCUGGAGCCAUAGCCUUUCCUCAGAGGGCCAGCAGGACAGACAGCCUGUACCCUCCUUCCUAGACAAUGACAGCUCCGCUAAGAGGGAAUCCUUUUCAGACAAAAACACGGUUGUCACCACAGAGAGUACUAAUAAGAACAAAACAAGCCGCCUCAGACGUGGCAUGAUGGCAGGUCCUGUAGCUAGUUCCCCUCAGGAAUCAAAUAAAAAACGUCAGACUCGACGGUUGGGAGGCCCUAAUCCUCUCCUGGCAAAUGAUGAAAACAACAAAAACAUCAGAGAUGGGUCUCUGUUGACUACUGUCCAGUCACAGAGAAUGGUUACAGGGUUGACAGAGCUCUCCACUGCUGACCCCAUGAGAGAAAGCCAACAGCCACGCAGCACACUGGGGAAAGGAUUUGAUGAAGAUGGCUUUGGGUUUGAGAGAGUAGGUCAAGACAAGCACAAGACCAGCAAAACAAAAUCAAUGACCAAUCAAAAUGUUGAUCUGCACAUGUCGGAGAUGAUUUUGGAUGAUAUUGAUGAUGAUGAGGAGUUGCGUGAUCUCUCAAGAGUGUCCUGCCACUCCUCCAGUUUGCCUCAAACCACUUCUGAUAGUCAACCCAUGAACCAGCAUACUGCCAUUGCCCUGAAAGAGCUCAUCCUUGGCUCCAGCACCAGUUGUUUCAGUGCAGAGUGGAGGAGUCAGAGUUUCACUUUCUCCGAUACACCUGAUCUGAGAUAUGGGCUUGUUCAGAAGAAGGGUGGUCCCUGUGGAGUUCUGGCUUCAGUCCAGGCUUGUAUUCUGCAGAAACUUCUAUUUGAGGAGACCGGCAGCGAUGCAGGGCACCAGAGAUUAAGACCCUCCGGUGCUGUGAGAACAAAGUGCCUCACGUUGGCCACUGCUGAGAUCCUGUGGAGGGCUGGGGAGGGGAAAAAAGCCACCAUCGCCAUAACAUCAGGAAGAAACCAUUUCACCCUUACAGGACACCGUAGAUCUGAAGGAGUACUAGAAAAGAUCACAUGUAUUCAUGUAGAUAAUCUAAAGGACCUUCAGUUGCUUGUGGAACAGCACAUUCAACAGUUUGAGUCAGGAGCCUUGGGGUGUAUAUUGCUCACCAUCUCUGCUAUUCUCUCCAGAUCUAUUGACCGGGUUAGAGAGGAUAUGGAUGUCCCCACCACCACACUCAUCGGAGCCCAUGGCUACUGCACACAGGAGCUGGUGAAUUUAUUGCUGUGUGGACAGGCUGUGUCCAAUGUCUUCAACAACAACAUGGAGCUGGAUUCAGGCAAUGGAAACCUGACCCUUCUCAAGGGAAUAAGAGGUCGCAGUGACAUUGGACUGCUGUCCUUAUUUGAACAUUAUAAUAUAUGCAAGGUUGGUUCCAACCUGAAGACUCCCAAGUUCCCUAUCUGGGUGGUGUGCAGCGAGAGCCAUUUCAGCGUGCUCUUUGGCGUGCAGGAGCUGCUGACGGACCAGUGUGUGCUCGGGGAGUUUGACUUGUACUACUACGACGGCCUAGCCAAUCAGCAGGAGGAAAUCUGCCUAACUGUCUCUGUAGGUACCUCAGGAAUAUCUGCUGGCUGCCAAGAUAUCCACACUGAUCUCAUUCCUCCUCUUGAACACUGUAUACGGACCAAAUGGAAAGAUGCCAUUGUCAAUUGGAAUGACACCGAGCCCAUCCUUUGACUGGCUAGUGGACAGAAGGGGCCAUUUUGAGACCUGAAGGAGCAUCAGGUUCUGCUGGAAUCUCCAUCUUUUUCAUCAUCGACGAGACAUUAGAACACGCUGAACACAGUGCUGUGGUGUGAUGAAGGCAGGGAGGUGGUGGCAAGAAGGAGGCCUUUGCCAACACCUCAAGCAACAGGAAUCAAAGAUACUGCAACUGGCACCGAGACAGAGCGGCGUCGCCUUCAUUUACUGUGAAACUCACUUGGAGGUUCCAUCAUGCUGCAGCAUCCCCGGGGUCUUGUCCAUUAAGAACCCAGCAGACCAUUGUUUUAUCAGAGCAGCCAUUUUGAGUGGAAGGGUCAAAACCGGUCCAAAACACUCUUGACAAUGGAAUUGGGUGGAACAGGAAGGAAUUUCUUUGUCAGUCAAAGUCUCUAAUCUUAGCGUUCUAAAAUAAUUAUUAGGUGGGGGUACAAGUUUGAAUUGUGUUUUUUACAUAUCCCACUUCCCCUGAGACAACCUCGGAGAGUGGGGUCAGAGGGCUCCAAGCAAGAUGUCACCUUGUGGGGCAUCAAUGAUCAUGAGGAAG